UACAGAGGGUGCGAACGUUGCUCGGAUUUACUGGGCGUAAAGCGCGUGUAGGCGGACUCGCAAGUCGGUUGUGAAAUCCCUGGGCUCAACCUAGGAACUGCAUCCGAAACUGCUUGUCUUGAGUAAUGGAGAGGGUGGCGGAAUUCCCGGUGUAGAGGUGAAAUUCGUAGAUAUCGGGAGGAACAUCAGUGGCGAAGGCGGCCACCUGGACAUUUACUGACGCUGAGACGGCGAAAAGCGUGGGGAGCAAACACGGAUUAAGAUACCCCCGUA
This 273-nucleotide ribosomal RNA is filed under the name uncultured prokaryote. Its description in RNAcentral is "partial 16S ribosomal RNA". It matches the Rfam family "Bacterial small subunit ribosomal RNA", at positions 524 to 792 of the family's 1533-position model. The record is from RNAcentral.